CCGAGUUUUUACGCUCAAACCCACGUGGACCCGAACUGUUGCUUCGGCGGGCGGCCUCCGGCUCGUCUGGGGUGCUGCCCGCCAAAGGUUUUGCCUAUAGGCUCUGAUAGUGGCUCUGCCGUAUACUGUCCUCUGAAUUAUCUUCCAGAAAAAUCA
This 156-nucleotide unclassified non-coding RNA is filed under the name uncultured fungus. RNAcentral describes it as "sequence contains ITS1". The record is from RNAcentral. Lineage: Eukaryota; Fungi.